Molecule: ribosomal RNA, 299 nt
Filed under: uncultured Prevotella sp.
Lineage: Bacteria; Pseudomonadati; Bacteroidota; Bacteroidia; Bacteroidales; Prevotellaceae
Also listed under: 1 other name
Description: partial 16S ribosomal RNA
Rfam family: Bacterial small subunit ribosomal RNA
Source: RNAcentral
GCAGUCGUGGGGCAUCAUGAUGUAGUAAUACAUUGAUGGCGACCGGCGCACGGGUGAGUAACGCGUAUCCAACCUACCCUCCACUCAAGUAUAGGCUUCCGAAAGGGAGAUUAAUCCUUGAUAUCGUCAUUCUCUCUCCUGUUAGAAUGAUAAAAGGACAUCGUUUCGGUAGAGGAUGGGGAUGCGUUCCAUUAGGUAGUAGGCGGUUUAACAGGCCACCUAGCCGAUGAUGGAUAGGGGUUCUGAGAGGAAUAUCCCCCACACUGGUACUGAGAUACGGACCAGACUCCUACGGGAGG